GACAAACAUGAACGUUCACGGUACAGGUCCCAUACAUUCUUCAGAAUGGUGAUUGAGAGCAGGGGAAACGAAAACACUUCUAGAGAUGCUUUUUAGUCUUGAAUUUGGUUGACUUUGCUGGAUCUUUGCGAAUUGCUAAAACUGGCGCUGGUGGAGUUCGCUUGAUGUAAGGAAAUACAUAAAUAAGAGCUUAAUGAUUCUUGGCAAUGUCAUAAUAAGUUCAAAGCUAAGCGCACAUAUUCUGAAUCGAGAUAGUAAGCUCAUUGGAAUUCUUCAGCCUGCGCUUGGUGGUAAUGCGAAGACUUGCAUUAUAUGCACUAUAGCAACAUCAAAGCUUCUCUUGGUGCAACUGAAAUCACAACGAGCCUUCUUUCAACUCUAGAUUCACAGUUC
This is a long non-coding RNA of Raphanus sativus (radish), 393 nucleotides long. RefSeq lists it as uncharacterized. NCBI's taxonomy places the organism in Eukaryota, Viridiplantae, Streptophyta, Magnoliopsida, Brassicales, Brassicaceae. The transcript has 4 exons. The record is from RefSeq and is a predicted model, not a curated record.